UAAAUCCUUUGGAAUAGGGUAUCAUAGAGGGUGAGAAUCCCGUCUUUGACUGAGAAUUUGCUACUAUGUGAUACGUUUUCAAAGAGUCGAGUUGUUUGGGAAUGCAGCUCAAAAUGGGUGGUAAAUUUCAUCUAAAGCUAAAUAUUGGCGAGAGACCGAUAGCGAACAAGUACCGUGAGGGAAAGAUGAAAAGAACUUUGAAAAGAGAGUUAAACAGUGCGUGAAAUUGUUGAAAGGGAAACGCUUGAAACCAGUCAUGUGGUUGGAAAAUCAGUGUUCAACUGGGGGGAAUGGGGGAGGUGUGGACCGCAAGGCUGCUCUUUUCUAUAUCUCUUUUGUUGGGCAUGCACUUUUUCUUCUGCAGGUCAACAUCAGUUUCUUUUGCUGGACAAAACUCUUGAGAAGGUAGCAGCUUAGGCUGUGUUAUAGCUCUGGAGCGAUACAGUGGAGGAGACUGAGGUUUUCGCAGCANGUGCUCUCGGGCAAGGCCAAUUGGGUGCUAUGGG
This 506-nucleotide ribosomal RNA is filed under the name soil fungal sp. DM2-227. Its description in RNAcentral is "eukaryotic LSU rRNA". It matches the Rfam family "Eukaryotic large subunit ribosomal RNA", at positions 182 to 623 of the family's 3401-position model. Lineage: Eukaryota; Fungi. The record is from RNAcentral.